This 493-nucleotide ribosomal RNA is filed under the name uncultured bacterium. Its description in RNAcentral is "partial 16S ribosomal RNA". It matches the Rfam family "Bacterial small subunit ribosomal RNA", at positions 29 to 523 of the family's 1533-position model. The record is from RNAcentral.
AUUGAACGCUGGCGGCAUGCUUUACACAUGCAAGUCGAACGGUAACAGGUUAAGCUGACGAGUGGCGAACGGGUGAGUAAUGCAUCGGAACGUGCCCGAUCGUGGGGGGUAACGCAGCGAAAGCUGCGCUAAUACCGCAUACGAUCUGAGGAUGAAAGCGGGGGACCGUAAGGCCUCGCGCGAUCGGAGCGGCGGAAGUCAGAGUAGGUAGUUGGUGGGGUAAAGGCUCACCAAGCCGACGAUCUGGAGCUGGUCUGAGAGGACGACCAGCCACACUGGGACUGAGACACGGCCCAGACUCCUACGGGAGGCAGCAGUGGGGAAUCUUGGACAAUGGGCGCAAGCCUGAUCCAGCAAUGCCGCGUGCAGGAAGAAGGUCUUCGGGUUGUAAACUGCUUUUGUACGGAGCGAAAAGGCUCUCUCUAAUACAGGGGGUUCAUGACGGUACCGUAAGAAUAAGCACCGGCUAACUACGUGCCAGCCGCCGCCGUAA